RNAcentral lists this ribosomal RNA (315 nucleotides) under uncultured Pleosporineae. RNAcentral's name for it is "partial large subunit ribosomal RNA". It matches the Rfam family "Eukaryotic large subunit ribosomal RNA", at positions 40 to 350 of the family's 3401-position model. The record is from RNAcentral. Lineage: Eukaryota; Fungi; Ascomycota; Dothideomycetes; Pleosporales.
AUAUCAAUAAGCGGAGGAAAAGAAACCAACAGGGAUUGCCUCAGUAACGGCGAGUGAAGCGGCAAUAGCUCAAAUUUGAAAUCUGGCUCCCUCCAGGGGCCCGAGUUGUAAUUUGUAGAGGGUGCUUUGGCGUCGGCCGUGGUCUAAGUUCCUUGGAACAGGACGUCACAGAGGGUGAGAAUCCCGUACGUGGCCAGUGACCUACGCUGUGUAAAGCCCCUUCGACGAGUCGAGUUGUUUGGGAAUGCAGCUCUAAAUGGGAGGUAAAUUCCAUCUAAAGCUAAAUAUUGGCGAGAGACCGAUAGCGCACAAGUA